AGUGAACGCUGGCGGUAGGCCUAACACAUGCAAGUCGAACGGCAGCACAGUAAGAGCUUGCUCUUACGGGUGGCGAGUGGCGGACGGGUGAGGAAUACAUCGGAAUCUACUUUUUCGUGGGGGAUAACGUAGGGAAACUUACGCUAAUACCGCAUACGACCUACGGGUGAAAGCAGGGGAUCUUCGGACCUUGCGCGAUUGAAUGAGCCGAUGUCGGAUUAGCUAGUUGGCGAGGUAAAGGCCCACCAAGGCGACGAUCCGUAGCUGGUCUGAGAGGAUGAUCAGCCACACUGGAACUGAGACACGGCCCAGACUCCUACGGGAGGCAGCAGUGGGGAAUAUUGGACAAUGGGCGCAAGCCUGAUCCAGCCAUACCGCGUGGGUGAAGAAGGCCUUCGGGUUGUAAAGCCCUUUUGUUGGGAAAGAAAAGCAGCAGGUUAAUACCCCGCUGUUCUGACGGUACCCAAAGAAUAAGCACCGGCUAACUUCGUG
RNAcentral lists this ribosomal RNA (492 nucleotides) under uncultured bacterium. Its description in RNAcentral is "partial 16S ribosomal RNA". It matches the Rfam family "Bacterial small subunit ribosomal RNA", at positions 29 to 507 of the family's 1533-position model. The record is from RNAcentral.